GAUGAACGCUGGCGGCGUGCCUAAUACAUGCAAGUCGAGCGAACAGACGAGAAGCUUGCUUCUCUGAUGUUAGCGGCGGACGGGUGAGUAACACGUGGAUAACCUACCUAUAAGACUGGGAUAACUUCGGGAAACCGGAGCUAAUACCGGAUAAUAUUUUGAACCGCAUGGUUCAAAAGUGAAAGACGGUCUUGCUGUCACUUAUAGAUGGAUCCGCGCUGCAUUAGCUAGUUGGUAAGGUAACGGCUUACCAAGGCAACGAUGCAUAGCCGACCUGAGAGGAGGAUUGGCCACACUGGAACGGAGACACGGUCCAGACUCCUACGGGAGGCAGCAGUAGGGAAUCUUCCGCAAUGGGCGAAAGCCUGACGGAGCAACGCCGCGUGAGUGAUGAAGGUCUUCGGAUCGUAAAACUCUGUUAUUAGGGAAGAACAGAUGUGUAGGUAACUGUGCACAUCUUGACGGUACCUAAUCAGAAAGCCACGGCUAACUACGUG
Molecule: ribosomal RNA, 497 nt
Filed under: uncultured bacterium
Lineage: Bacteria
Description: partial 16S ribosomal RNA
Rfam family: Bacterial small subunit ribosomal RNA
Source: RNAcentral